Molecule: ribosomal RNA, 468 nt
Filed under: uncultured bacterium
Lineage: Bacteria
Description: partial 16S ribosomal RNA
Rfam family: Bacterial small subunit ribosomal RNA
Source: RNAcentral
GACGAACGCUGGCGGCGUGCUUAACACAUGCAAGUCGAACGGAAAGGCCCUGCUUUUGUGGGGUGCUCGAGUGGCGAACGGGUGAGUAACACGUGAGUAACCUGCCCUUGACUUUGGGAUAACUUCAGGAAACUGGGGCUAAUACCGGAUAGGAGCUCCUGCUGCAUGGUGGGGGUUGGAAAGUUUCGGCGGUUGGGGAUGGACUCGCGGCUUAUCAGCUUGUUGGUGGGGUAGUGGCUUACCAAGGCUUUGGCGGGUAGCCGGCCUGAGAGGGUGACCGGCCACAUUGGGACUGAGAUACGGCCCAGACUCCUACGGGGGGCAGCAGUGGGGAAUAUUGCACAAUGGGCGGAAGCCUGAUGCAGCAACGCCGCGUGCGGGAUGACGGCCUUCGGGUUGUAAACCGCUUUCGCCUGUGACGAAGCGUGAGUGACGGUAAUGGGUAAAGAAGCACCGGCUAACUACGUG